UUCCGGUUGAUCCUGCCGGACCCGACUGCUAUCGGGGUGGCGCUAAGCCAUGGGAGUCGCACAUCCCACCGCCGUGGGGUGUGGCGAACGGCUGAGUAACACGUGGCUAACCUACCCUCGGGACGGGGACAACUCCGGGAAACUGGAGCUUAUCCCCGAUAGGCGGGGAGUCCUGGAACGGUUCUCCGCCCAAAGGGAUGGGAGGGGGUUAUCGCCUUCUAUCCGCCCGAGGAUGGGGCUGCGUCCCAUCAGGUUGUUGGCGGGGUAACGGCCCGCCAAGCCUAUAACGGGUAGGGGCCGUGAGAGCGGGAGCCCCCAGAUGGGCACUGAGACAAGGGCCCAGGCCCUACGGGGCGCACCAGGCGGGAAACCUCCGCAAUGCGGUAACCCGUGACGGGGUCACCCCGAGUGCUCCCCUUAUGGGGAGCUUUUCCCCGCUGCAGGAAGGCGGGGGUAAUAAGUGGGGGGCAAGACUGGUGUCAGCCGCCGCGGUAAUACCAGCCCCACGAGUGGUCGGGACGGUUAUUGGGGCCUAAAGCGCCCGUAGCCGGCCCAGCAAGUUCCUGCCUAAAUCACCGGGCUCAACCCGGUGACUGGUGGGAAUACUGCUGGGCUAGGAGGCGGGAGAGGCCGGGGGGUACUCCUAGGGUAGGGGCGAAAUCCUAUAAUCCUAGGAGGACCACCAGUGGCGAAGGCGCCCGGCUGGAAACGCGCUCGACGGUGAGGGGCGAAA
RNAcentral lists this ribosomal RNA (733 nucleotides) under uncultured archaeon. RNAcentral's name for it is "bacterial SSU rRNA". It matches the Rfam family "Archaeal small subunit ribosomal RNA", at positions 1 to 709 of the family's 1478-position model. The record is from RNAcentral.